This 950-nucleotide ribosomal RNA is filed under the name Cellulomonas sp. OVC30. RNAcentral describes it as "bacterial SSU rRNA". It matches the Rfam family "Bacterial small subunit ribosomal RNA", at positions 38 to 999 of the family's 1533-position model. Lineage: Bacteria; Bacillati; Actinomycetota; Actinomycetes; Micrococcales; Cellulomonadaceae. The record is from RNAcentral.
GACCGUAAUGACUGAUACAAUGCAGUCGACGGUGAAGACCAGCUUGCUGGUUGGAUCAGUGGCGAACGGGUGAGUAACACGUGAGCAACCUGCCCUUCACUCUGGGAUAAGCCUUGGAAACGGGGUCUAAUACCGGAUAUGACGUCCCUACGCAUGUGGGGGCGUGGAAAGAUUUAUCGGUGGGGGAUGGGCUCGCGGCCUAUCAGCUUGUUGGUGGGGUAAUGGCCUACCAAGGCGACGACGGGUAGCCGGCCUGAGAGGGCGACCGGCCACACUGGGACUGAGACACGGCCCAGACUCCUACGGGAGGCAGCAGUGGGGAAUAUUGCACAAUGGGCGCAAGCCUGAUGCAGCGACGCCGCGUGAGGGAUGACGGCCUUCGGGUUGUAAACCUCUUUCAGCAGGGAAGAAGCGCAAGUGACGGUACCUGCAGAAGAAGCGCCGGCUAACUACGUGCCAGCAGCCGCGGUGAUACGUAGGGCGCAAGCGUUGUCCGGAAUUAUUGGGCGUAAAGAGCUCGUAGGCGGUCAGUCGCGUCUGCUGUGAAAACUCGAGGCUCAACCUCGGGCUUGCAGUGGGUACGGGCUGACUAGAGUGCGGUAGGGGUGACUGGAAUUCCUGGUGUAGCGGUGGAAUGCGCAGAUAUCAGGAGGAACACCGAUGGCGAAGGCAGGUCACUGGGCCGCAACUGACGCUGAGGAGCGAAAGCAUGGGGAGCGAACAGGAUUAGAUACCCUGGUAGUCCAUGCCGUAAACGUUGGGCACUAGGUGUGGGGUCCAUUCCACGGAUUCCGUGCCGCAGCUAACGCAUUAAGUGCCCCGCCUGGGGAGUACGGCCGCAAGGCUAAAACUCAAAGAAAUUGACGGGGGCCCGCACAAGCGGCGGAGCAUGCGGAUUAAUUCGAUGCAACGCGAAGAACUUACCAAGGCUUGACAUACACCGGAAAGUG